This 1541-nucleotide unclassified non-coding RNA is filed under the name uncultured fungus. RNAcentral describes it as "sequence contains 18S rRNA gene, ITS1, 5.8S rRNA gene, ITS2, 28S rRNA gene". Lineage: Eukaryota; Fungi. The record is from RNAcentral.
AGCCGGGUUUCGCCACGGUGCUCGGCGGACCCAACGAUCCAAUCCCGACGCCGUUCCGUCUUCCGGACAGUUUGCUUCAGUUGAUCACGCAGCUGAUCAACAGCAAGCCGGGCCAGACCGGUGGUGUCGCCAAUAUUCCGACGCAAGGCAACGUGCCGGACGGCUUCAAAUUCACCGUUGUCACCGACCCGACCGCUCCGCCGGGCACCGAUCCGCUGGGCUACAUCUCGAUCUUUGGCGCCGGCAACAGCGCCGGCAAGAGCGUGUCGCAGACCGGCCAGGGUGGCAGCGUCACGCCGCCGCCGACGACAACACCGCCGCCGUGCGUCGGCUAUGGUUGCUAAGGCGUGCACUCGUUAGCGCGCAGCCACAGCCUGACGGACGCAAGCAUUGGUGGGUCGUCGUUCAGAAAAUUCCCAGCCCUCGAUCCUAAAUUCCUGAGGGUGGUACCCUCACUUCACUUAUCUGAUCGAUGGACGUGAAGCCCGCCGGACCGAUGCAGAAUCCCUCGGUCGCCGCGUGGCGCCAAUCUGUAUGAACAAUCUCGCGUCCCACCCACGCCGCUUCACCAGGCACCGGCGGGGUAUUGAUCCAGUGUGCGGACUGCCAGCGCAUGAAAUGCAGGUAGAGAAAUUCCCGGCCGCCAUCACGCUCAUUGGUCAGAUGGCCGCCCCGCCAAUACCAGCGCUGCGGAUAGUUCAUGGUGCCGUCGUGCCAGCCUCGCACGCUCAGCACCGUACUGUGACGUUCGACGAAUAAGGAGCGGUAGGCCGGCGACUUCAAAAAGAUUUGAGAAAACAGGGUCUCCUCAACCGCAGUCUGGUGCGGCGUUUCGAGCAACGCGCGGUAAUUGGGCAUACCCUCGAAGGCAUAGCGCAGAGCGGCCGUAUUGCGUAGCACCGCGAAGUGGCCGGAGAGCCGCUCGGGAUGCGUGGACACCACGUCAAGUUCGGCGAAUUGCUGCGGUCCGUAGAAACGCGAGAUGUCCCCGUAGAUCACAUCGAGAUCGCCGUAUCCAAAAAACGGAAAGCCGACUGUAUCCUGUUCGUGGAGAAAACCGAGAGCCGGCCUGAGAUCGCAAAGCUUGUAGGGAUGAGCGGGAUCAAAUGCGAUAUCGAGGCGUUCGCGUGCAAGAGCUUUGUAGUCAUCGAAACUGAUUGGAACGUAGUCGAUGUUGUCAGCCCUGUUCUCGGGUUCUCCGCAGUCGGUGUAGAUACGCCACCUGACGCCGGCAUUCCACUUACAGCUUUCAACGAAGAAAUUUAUCCACGCUGGCCAUCGUCCAAAAUAAAAGCAGAGAAGGAUGAGCCAUGGGUUCAUAAUGAGUAUGUUCGUGUUGAGCCGCCUCUGUUGGCAGCGGCGUCGUCUGCAAGCAAGCGUAGCGCGAUGCCCUUUGCUGGUACAUCGCGUCAUUUCGCUGCAAUGCAAUGCCUUGUCGGCUUUCGGAGCGAAGCUACAUUCAGCGCGGUCACAGAAACCGGAUUUAUGAGUACGCCGCCAGCCAGGCCCCGCGGCCUUCUACGCCGCGAUCUUCACGUAUU